Molecule: ribosomal RNA, 393 nt
Filed under: uncultured bacterium
Lineage: Bacteria
Description: partial 16S ribosomal RNA
Rfam family: Bacterial small subunit ribosomal RNA
Source: RNAcentral
AUACGGAGGAUGCAAGCGUUAUCCGGAUUUAUUGGGUUUAAAGGGUGCGUAGGCGGAUGAUUAAGCGUGAGGUGAAAUGCCACUGCUCAACAGUGGAACUGCCUCGCGAACUGGUUGUCUUGAAUGCUCCUGCCGUGGGAGGAAUGUGUGGUGUAGCGGUGAAAUGCAUAGAGAUCACACAGAACACCGAUUGCGAAGGCAUCUCACGAAGGGGUGAUUGACGCUGAGGCACGAAAGCGUGGGGAUCAAACAGGAUUAGAUACCCUGGUAGUCCACGCGGUAAACGAUGAUGGCUAACCGCUGGUUUAUUCGGAUCAGUGGCCAAGCGAAAGCGAUAAGCCAUCCACCUGGGGAGUACGACCGCAAGGUUGAAACUCAAAGGAAUUGACGGGG